AGCCGAUGGCGGAGGCCUAACACAUGCAAGUCGAGCGCACUCUUCGGAGUGAGCGGCGGACGGGUUAGUAACGCGUGGGAACGUGCCCAGAUCUAAGGAAUAGCCACUGGAAACGGUGAGUAAUACCUUAUACGCCCUUCGGGGGAAAGAUUUAUCGGAUUUGGAUCGGCCCGCGUUAGAUUAGAUAGUUGGUGGGGUAACGGCCUACCAAGUCUACGAUCUAUAGCUGGUUUUAGAGGAUGAUCAGCAACACUGGGACUGAGACACGGCCCAGACUCCUGCGGGAGGCAGCAGUGGGGAAUCUUGGACAAUGGGGGCAACCCUGAUCCAGCCAUGCCGCGUGAGUGAUGAAGGCCCUAGGGUCGUAAAGCUCUUUCGCCAGAGAUGAUAAUGACAGUAUCUGGUAAAGAAACCCCGGCUAACUCCGUGCCAGCAGCCGCGGUAAUACGGAGGGGGUUAGCGUUGUUCGGAAUUACUGGGCGUAAAGCGCGCGUAGGCGGAUCGGAAAGUUGGGGGUGAAAUCCCGGGGCUCAACCCCGGAACUGCCUCCAAAACUAUCGGUCUAGAGUUCGAGAGAGGUGAGUGGAAUUCCGAGUGUAGAGGUGAUAUUCGUAGAUAUUCGGAGGAACACCAGUGGCGAAGGCGGCUCACUGGCUCGAUACUGACGCUGAGGUGCGAGCGUGUGGGGAGCACACAUGAUUAUAUAACAUGGUAGUCCGCAUCGCCGACGAUGAUUGCCAAUCUUCCGGGUAGCAUGCUGCUCCGCGACUCACCUUAUCGGGAUUAAGCGUUCUAGAUGUGAAGCUCGGUCUGCAAAGUGUGAUCACAUAACAUGGAGGA
RNAcentral lists this ribosomal RNA (840 nucleotides) under uncultured bacterium. RNAcentral describes it as "bacterial SSU rRNA". It matches the Rfam family "Bacterial small subunit ribosomal RNA", at positions 31 to 917 of the family's 1533-position model. The record is from RNAcentral.